RNAcentral lists this ribosomal RNA (492 nucleotides) under uncultured bacterium. RNAcentral describes it as "partial 16S ribosomal RNA". It matches the Rfam family "Bacterial small subunit ribosomal RNA", at positions 29 to 507 of the family's 1533-position model. The record is from RNAcentral.
AGUGAACGCUGGCGGUAGGCCUAACACAUGCAAGUCGAACGGCAGCACAGUAAGAGCUUGCUCUUACGGGUGGCGAGUGGCGGACGGGUGAGGAAUACAUCGGAAUCUACUUUUUCGUGGGGGAUAACGUAGGGAAACUUACGCUAAUACCGCAUACGACCUACGGGUGAAAGCAGGGGAUCUUCGGACCUUGCGCGAUUGAAUGAGCCGAUGUCAGAUUAGCUAGUUGGCGGGGUAAAGGCCCACCAAGGCGACGAUCCGUAGCUGGUCUGAGAGGAUGAUCGGCCACACUGGAACUGAGACACGGUCCAGACUCCUACGGGAGGCAGCAGUGGGGAAUAUUGGACAAUGGGCGCAAGCCUGAUCCAGCCAUACCGCGUGGGUGAAGAAGGCCUUCGGGUUGUAAAGCCCUUUUGUUGGGAAAGAAAAGCAGCAGGUUAAUACCCCGCUGUUCUGACGGUACCCAAAGAAUAAGCACCGGCUAACUUCGUG